GAUGAACGCUAGCUACAGGCUUAACACAUGCAAGUCGAGGGGUAACGAGAGGAAAGCUUGCUUUCCUUGUCGACGACCGGCGCACGGGUGAGUAACGCGUAUCCAACCUGCCCCCAACUAGGGAAUAACCUUGCGAAAGUAAGACUAAUACCCUAUAAUUUCCUCAGAUGUCAUCUGACGAGGAAUAAAGAUUUAUCGGUUGUGGAUGGGGAUGCGUCUGAUUAGCUUGUUGGCGGGGUAACGGCCCACCAAGGCAACGAUCAGUAGGGGUUCUGAGAGGAAGGUCCACCACAUUGGAACUGAGACACGGUCCGAACGCCUACGGGAGGCAGCAGUGAGGAAUAUUGGUCAAUGGGCGGAAGCCUGAACCAGCCAAGUAGCGUGCAGGAUGACGGCCCUAUGGGUUGUAAACUGCUUUUAUACAGGAAUAAAGUUAGCCACGUGUGGUUAUUUGUAGGUACUGUAUGAAUAAGGACCGGCUAAUUCCGUGCCAGCCGCCGCGGUAA
This 506-nucleotide ribosomal RNA is filed under the name uncultured bacterium. Its description in RNAcentral is "partial 16S ribosomal RNA". It matches the Rfam family "Bacterial small subunit ribosomal RNA", at positions 28 to 523 of the family's 1533-position model. The record is from RNAcentral.